Molecule: ribosomal RNA, 379 nt
Filed under: uncultured organism
Description: partial 16S ribosomal RNA
Rfam family: Bacterial small subunit ribosomal RNA
Source: RNAcentral
GUAGGUGGCAAGCGUUGUCCGGAAUUAUUGGGCGUAAAGCGCGCGCAGGCGGUUCUUUAAGUCUGAUGUGAAAGCCCACGGCUCAACCGUGGAGGGUCAUUGGAAACUGGAGAACUUGAGUACAGAAGAGGAAAGCGGAAUUCCACGUGUAGCGGUGAAAUGCGUAGAGAUGUGGAGGAACACCAGUGGCGAAGGCGGCUUUCUGGUCUGUAACUGACGCUGAGGCGCGAAAGCGUGGGGAGCAAACAGGGAUUAGAUACCCUGGUAGUCCACGCCGUAAACGAUGAGUGCUAAGUGUUAGGGGGGGUUUUCCGGCCCCCCUUAGUGCUGCAGCUAACGCAUUAAGCACUCCGCCCUGGGGAGUACGGCCGCAAGGCUG